Molecule: transfer RNA, 71 nt
Filed under: Spirochaetaceae bacterium
Lineage: Bacteria; Pseudomonadati; Spirochaetota; Spirochaetia; Spirochaetales; Spirochaetaceae
Description: tRNA-Gly
Rfam family: tRNA
About the family: Transfer RNA (tRNA) molecules are approximately 80 nucleotides in length. Their secondary structure includes four short double-helical elements and three loops (D, anti-codon, and T loops).
Source: RNAcentral
GCAGCCGUCAUAUAACGGUAUUACCCCAGCUUCCCAAGCUGGAGACGCGGGUUCGACUCCCGUCGGCUGCU